This 445-nucleotide ribosomal RNA is filed under the name uncultured bacterium. Its description in RNAcentral is "partial 16S ribosomal RNA". It matches the Rfam family "Bacterial small subunit ribosomal RNA", at positions 354 to 796 of the family's 1533-position model. The record is from RNAcentral.
GUGAGGAAUAUUGGUCAAUGGGCGGGAGCCUGAACCAGCCAAGUCGCGUGAAGGAAGAAGGAUCUAUGGUUCGUAAACUUCUUUUGCAGGGGAAUAAAGUGCAGGACGUGUCCUGUUUUGUAUGUACCCUGAGAAUAAGGAUCGGCUAACUCCGUGCCAGCAGCCGCGGUAAUACGGAGGAUCCGAGCGUUAUCCGGAUUUAUUGGGGUUAAAGGGUGCGUAGGUGGUUUGAUAAGUCAGCGGUGAAAGUUUGCAGCUUAACUGUAAAAAUGCCGUUGAAACUGUCGGACUUGAGUGUAAAUGAGGUAGGCGGAAUGCGUGGUGUAGCGGUGAAAUGCAUAGAUAUCACGCAGAACUCCGAUUGCGAAGGCAGCUUACUAAGCUACAACUGAUACUGAAGCACGAAAGCGUGGGGAUCAAACAGGAUUAGAAACCCGGGUAGUCC